RNAcentral lists this long non-coding RNA (5422 nucleotides) under Triticum aestivum (bread wheat). Its description in RNAcentral is "long non-coding RNA (TAES_LNC011865)". Lineage: Eukaryota; Viridiplantae; Streptophyta; Magnoliopsida; Poales; Poaceae. The record is from RNAcentral.
UCGUGUUGAAAAGAUGCCCUACCUAUGUUCCUUGGGCCUGCGUGGGCCCACACACUGACACAUUAGCCACAGAUGGCUUAGCCACGGCGACUCACAGGACCGAGAAGGCGAGGCGGCCAUCCGGCUCCGGCGCGGCGGAGGCGAGCGAGCUCGCGCCCUCCAAGCCACCCCGUCCCUGAUGCGGGGCUCUGGAGGCCGGACGGCCACGUCAUGCGCGCGAGCGGGGAGCGGCCGGCGACUCGUCUGACUCCCUCAGGUCCGCCUCCCUCGCCGUCGCCGCCACCGGAUUCCGUUGAAUCACUCGCCCACCCCAGCCUGGGUUCCACCUCGCUUCUGCUCAUGGUAUUAACAGGCCCCCUUUUAUUACUGCACCACUCACGGGUCACACGAUGCAAACACAGUUGCAUACGAGUCAAAUAGAUUGCAAAUUACAGUUGCAGAUGGGCAAAUAUUUUACAAAUUGGCAUGUUCCGAAGAAUACAAAUGCUCAGCACUAUGAAUUUAACAAGUCUGAUAAACCAAAUAAGACUACGGAUACAUGAACAAGUAAAUAGUAGCUCCUUCCAUCCAUCUAUAGAGAAAUCACAACUUCAGCAAUCAGCACUUGUUUAUUGUAGUGGACUGAAUGCUGAUACCACUGUGGUUGCGGCUGAACCUGCUCAAUCUGUGGUGGUUUGCUUCCUCGUCAUCCUCGCCCAAUUCACAACCACAAGCACAUAAAUUUUAUCAAAAACCGCAUCAAAGAGCCGGAAAUAGGAGGCCCUCCAUGUUUUCUUGAAGAGAAGGGAGCAGAACACCACCCAGAGGCCAACCACGAAGCCCACGCUUAGCCCGAAACAGAAGGGCAUCGCCUCGGAUCCUUCUUUGCUCGCUGUGAAGUGGCUUUCUGCUGUGUGGUCUCCCGGACAGCUCUUCUUAAGAGGAGGCCCGCAGAGGCCAGGGUUGCCAAUGUACAUGGAUGCGGGGUCGGAAGGGUUGAGUGUGUCGAGCUGGUGCCCCGACGGUAUCCUUCCUGAUAAUUUGUUGUAGGACAAGUUCAGAUAGCUUAGUGAUGUUAGAUCGGAUAGGCCCGGAGGGAUUUCGCCAGAGAGCUGGUUGCUGGAGAGGUCAAGUGAUUCCAGUGAGUGCAUGGAGCUAAUGUUCUCUGGGAUUUUUCCGGUCAAGUGGUUCAAAGACAGAUUCAUAUUCACUAAACCUGCUGCAGGACCUAUGCUUUCGGGGAUAUUUCCAGUUAAAUGAUUGCAGGAUAAAUCAAGACUCACCAUGUCUAUGAAUCGACCAAUAUAUUCGCGCCCUUGCCCUUUUGUGACUACAAAUAUGCUAGCAAUCAUAGCAUACUCAUACCCACCACCAGGAUGUUGGGGGUCAUCUACUACAGUAAUGCCAUCAUCUACUGUAGCCAUGUCGCUGGAAGUGCUGGAUGGGUAAUCCCGAGCUGCUAAUUCUGUGGUCACGCCAUCCAUGUUUAGCAGGGAUCGAGGUAUAGUACCUGAUAAGUUGUUGUGUGCUAGGUCCAAAUAUUGGAGAUAUCGAAGUCCUCUAAGUUGGGUAGGUAUACAGCCAGAAAACAUGUUGGACCUGAGGCGCAGAUAUUUCAGCCGUGGUAAUUUCUCACCAAUCCAAGGUGGUAUACUUCCAAAAAACUUAUUUUGCCCAAGAUCGAUAAAAGUUAGUUCUGGGCAAUUCUGUAAUAACAGAGGGAAUUCACCCGAGAGGCUAUUGUUGUUGAGCCUCAGAGUUUUAAUUGACAUAGACAGUGAUAUCUCAGAGCUUGAAUCACUAUCUGGAGAGGCUGUGUUAGGUGGCACCAUUCCUGAACUUGACGCCACAUUUUCUGAACAUCGAGGGAACUGACCUGUUAUCAUAUUGUUUCUAAUGUCAAGCAAUGUCAGUGACUUCAUUUGGCAUAACGAUGCUGGGAUAGUGCCCGUGAAAUGGUUGUCAAAUAGAAGCAAACUGUCUAUGAAUAAUGGCCAUCUGACAUUUAAUGGCAGAGCCCCUGACAGGGAGUUUCUUGAGAGAUCUAGUCCCAUUAUAUUCUGAGGCAGCUGUUCUACCGGACCAAUGAACUGAUUCGAGCUUAGAUCUAAGAAACUGGUGUCCAUCUGUCCAAGAGUAGCUCGUAAUGUGCCACUGAUGUUAUUGUUUGAGAGGUCCAAAACGUCAGCCUUUCUAAACACAGUCCAAAACCAAUCAGGCAUGGUAUCAGCUAUGCUGGCAUUGGACAUAUAAAGGGAGGAGAUAUUCUUUGGUGAUUUGAGCCACUGAGGAAAUCUCGGCCCAAGAUAGCAUGAUCUUAAUCCCAGUGUGAGCAAUCUCCUUGGAGGGAUCCAGUCAGAGUUCAGCUUCAUGGUAAAGGAAUUUCCAGAUAAGUGCAGCUCCUGCAACUCUGUAAGCUUGGAGAAGUGCUCUUGAGUGAUGAGACCAUCCAUCUGAUUGUACCCUAUGUUCAGAUAAAUCAGGUUAGAAAGCGUGCCUAUCACAGUGGUCAGAGGUCCUGUAAGCCUGUUGAAACUGAGAUCAAGAGAGCUCAAGCUAGUCAUGUGGCCGAUCCAGUCUGACAACGAGCCAGUUAUGUUAUUGUGGCCCAGAUGCAGCUCCUGCAACUGACUCCAUGAACAUUUUGGUAACCUCUCGAUGAACUCCGUCACGUCCCCUUGAACAUCAUUAUAUGCCAAUUCAAAUAUUCUCAGGCUGCAAAGGCUGGUCAGUGUGUCUGGUAUCAUUCCCUUUAUAUGGUUCUCCCUCAGCUGAAGGACUUCAAGUGAGGUCAAGUUUCCCAGUUGUGCAGGAAACACGCCAUAUAUAUGAUUGGACUCAAGGUUGAGAUAUUUCAGGCUGCUUGCAUCCCAAACCCAGCUAAUAGCGUCAAACUGCAUUUCAAUGGAGUUCCGAAAGAGGUCGAGGAUCUUGAGCCUGGUGAGAUUCGAGCGAGGCAUAUAGUGGUUUGUGGUAAUAAGCGAACAUGUUGAUAGCCUGAGGACCUCAAGAGAGGACAGCAUGUUCACUGUGUCAGCCCAGCCUAUCACGGCGCUGAGGUUCGCAAAACUCAUGUCAAGAUGCUUGAGCAAAGAGAGCUGUGACAGCCACGUGAGAUCUUCUGAGUGCAGACCAUAAGAUCUCAGAUCAAGGUAUCGCAACCUCGAGAGGUUGCCAAGCUGAUGGGGCACCAUGCCAGAAAAAUUCAGGCCCGAAAGGUUGAGGUACCGCAGGUCACUAAGAGACCCUACGAAGUCUGGAAGGCCGCCUUGAGGCCCGGUGAGAUGGUAGUUUCCACCAAGGUCGAGGUGUUGCAGAUGCUGCAGGGUUUUCAGAGAAGAACUGAUCUCACCUUCCAGGGAAGACCGGAUGUACCGUGCAUGAAGGUCAAGCUCAAUGACAUGGCCGGUCAUGUUGCUGCAGCUGACGCCCUCCCAGUGACAGCAGUCUUUCCCUCGCCACGACGAGAGGAGGCGCUCCGGGUCCGCUGUGAUGCCGGCUUUGAUGGACAGCAGGGCCUCCCUCUCCCUCGCGAUGCAUCCUCCUCGAUCACGCGUCCUCCAUGAAUCAGGUUUGGACCAUCCUACUGUGGUUUGUGCGAGCAGGAGCAGGAAGACUGCAAGUGCAAGCAUGGUGGAUUGGGAUCUCAGAAAGAACCAGCCCAUGUUCUUCUUAGGUAGUGCUAGUCCUGGUUUGUUGUACAAUUGGUGUUAGUGGUGUUUAUCAUUGCUGAAUCUAAUUGUUAUUGAUAAUUAUAGGAGCAGAUUUCAUGCUCAGUCAACAUCUGAUAUGACAAGGAUACUAUUCUGGUCAAGCUGCAGUGUGCUGAAUAUUGCGAUUUUUCGGCAUUGCAUUAGCUGCAGUCAAACUGAUUGUGGACAAAACAGAGAAGGAAAAGAGAGCGUUCGGCAGGAUUGACCCCAUUUUCAUCCUAGCUGCGGGAGUCAAUGGCUAGCUGUUCAUUUGAUACAGUCUAGUCACGUACAGUAUAUGCGGUUUGUUUUCAGUUUUCUAUGUAACGCAGAAUACUUACUGUAAAGUUAGUUUGUUAACGAAGAUAAAAAAUAUACUUACUGUAAAGUUAUUUUGGGACGGAGGGAGUAUCUGAUUGUCAAAUUUAAUUCUUGUUGACAUUAGAGUAGCAAAUUGCAUGUUCGGUCUACAACUCAUACAGGAACAGUGGCCUGAACAAUUGCAACUUUUCAGCAUCGUAUUAACUGCGUUCAAAUCAAAAGUUGGAACAUAGAAGAAAAGAAAGAAAGCAUUCAGCACUUGCGAGGAUUGACCACAUCCACAUGGAGGGAAGAGGGUACAAAAGAGACAGUUUGUGUUAAUUAUCUCCCUGUCUUGCUAGAUGUUCUAACUGUUCUUAAGGUACACUUUAGUGACUUUAGUCGUACGUAUGCAGUUCGUUUCCUUCCAGUUCCACUCUCCGUGUAACACAAAUACACAAAUUAUUUACUGUAAAGUUAGCUUGUUGAUGAGGAGAAAAAAAUUGUUUCAUCAUCUGACCCUGCUAUGUACCAUUGACUUGCAGAAUAAUGGCCAUCUCUGAUUCCAUCGUCAAAAAAGAAAAAAACACAAGGUAAAGAAACAUAAUGUUGAUGCCCAGGCCUUCAAAUUUGAGAAAGCAGGUACCGGCGUAGUAACAGACAUAGAAACCGGAAACCAAAAUGGCCGAGAUUCCCCAGCUAGGACGGCACUCAGAAAACAGAGGAUCAGACAGAAACAGAGGAUCUAGCCCCUGUUUUGUUGUGUUACUGAUGUUGGUGGUGUUCAUUCAUAGUGUAAGGUUAAUGAAAAAAUGUACUAGUAGUGUAUCUCAUUGUCAAGAUGCGGUGGCCUGGAUAAUUGCAAUAUUGCGAGCAUCGUAUUUAAUUGCGGUCAAAUAAAAGUUGGAAGUUGGAACAGAUAAAAAAAUAAAAUAAAAAUCAUUCAGCAGUUGCCAGGAUUGACAAUGGUCCAGUGUUUGUCUCUGUCAUAUGCUAGAGUUGGUGGAGCAAAUGGCUAGCAUUCAUCAAGUAUAGUUUAGUAUGUAUGUGCAGUUUGUUUCCAUUCCACUCACCAUGUAACACAAAUUAUUUUACUGUAAAGUGUAGUAUGUAUCAUUGACAAUGCCAAACACAUUGCUGUCUGACAACAGCGCAAAGGAUGCCAACACGAGUUGAUCUUUCUAGCUUCCAGACGAACAUGGCGGUUUGAUGCAGUUAUCGUGAGAAGAAUGGUGGUUGUGCCGUGGGCUUUAUUUCUUUCUAUCUGUGAUGAUGCAUCAUUACAUUAGAGGCUGUAAUGAACGAUCAUGUGGAACUCGUUGUGCCUUUGUUGUAGAAAAACACAAAUUAUUUAUUGUAAAGUUAUUUUGUUAAUGGAGGAAAAGAUUGUAAUUGUUUGCCCCUGCCAUAUAUAUUUGCAAAUGGAGCAUGAAGUAAAGGAUGAUUAUAUG